RNAcentral lists this long non-coding RNA (856 nucleotides) under Brassica rapa (field mustard). Its description in RNAcentral is "long non-coding RNA (BRAP_LNC007069)". Lineage: Eukaryota; Viridiplantae; Streptophyta; Magnoliopsida; Brassicales; Brassicaceae. The record is from RNAcentral.
AAAAACAAUUGAUAAGAUAAAACCCUAAACACACGAGAAAUAAAAAGGGAGAAUAUUAUACAUGUUUUAAUCUCUCCCUACCUCUAUCUAUUGUUUUUGCACUUUCUCUCUCUAUGGCUUCUUUGUUCUAUCACGUUUGCUCUUAAAGCGCCCAUCUCUGUCCUACACAAACGCAAGUCAACCUCAAGGUUCGUAAAUGUCUGUUUUUCUCAUUCUACUUUCUCUGUCUUUGGUUUGGAUCUUAUUUGAUUUAAUGUCUUUGAAAUUGAUUGGGGACGAACUCUUUCUGUAUCGAAUUAGAACUUUUUCAAUUUGAUCUGUAAAACUCUGUGAUUAUGAGAACGAGCACGUCAAUUAGAACUUUUUCAAUUUGUCUGUAAAACAUCAAUAGUUUUUACUUUUCUUCCAUCGAAGUCACAUGUUUUAGAAGUUUAUUUUGCUAUAGAAGUUUUAUAUGUUUAGCUGUAAGUUUUUCCAACCAUCGUUAACGUUUCAUAAUUUUUAUACAUGUCGAAGUUUGUAUAUAUUAGCAUUAAACUAUCCGAACAUUUUUAGGUUUACAUGAAAGCGUUCAAAAUAGGAUAAUAACUAUAGCUAUUGAUGCCGCUAGAACAUAAGAACAAAUAAAAUAAGAUUGCAAGUCUCAUUUAAAGUAGUAGAGUAACGCCAAUCUGAGAUUUGUCUCUUUUAAUAUGCAAGUCUCAUUGUAAAAGAAUUUGAUCUUUGUCUUCUCUCAUCCACGUCUCCAUCGGAUCCAUUACGAUUACGAUGGUUUUUGAUGGCACGGCUGUUUUCUCCUGUAGUGGUGUUUGGUGACGACAAUGGUGGCUCCUCCUUAAAUCGCAUCCAAGCCGAG